CCUACGGUGCGCUGCAGUGGGGAAUAUUGGACAAUGGGCGAAAGCCUGAUCCAGCCAUGCCGCGUGUGUGAAGAAGGCCUUCGGGUUGUAAAGCACUUUCAGUGGGGAAGAAAGCCUUGGGGCUAAUACCCUCGAGGAAGGACAUCACCCACAGAAGAAGCACCGGCUAACUCCGUGCCAGCAGCCGCGGUAAUACGGAGGGUGCGAGCGUUAAUCGGAAUUACUGGGCGUAAAGCGCGCGUAGGCGGUCUGAUAAGCCGGUUGUGAAAGCCCCGGGCUCAACCUGGGAACGGCAUCCGGAACUGUCAGGCUAGAGUGCAGGAGAGGAAGGUAGAAUUCCCGGUGUAGCGGUGAAAUGCGUAGAGAUCGGGAGGAAUACCAGUGGCGAAGGCGGCCUUCUGGACUGACACUGACGCUGAGGUGCGAAAGCGUGGGUAGCAAACAGGAUUAGAUACCGGGUAGUC
RNAcentral lists this ribosomal RNA (464 nucleotides) under Vreelandella stevensii. RNAcentral's name for it is "partial 16S ribosomal RNA". It matches the Rfam family "Bacterial small subunit ribosomal RNA", at positions 338 to 795 of the family's 1533-position model. The record is from RNAcentral. Lineage: Bacteria; Pseudomonadati; Pseudomonadota; Gammaproteobacteria; Oceanospirillales; Halomonadaceae.